RNAcentral lists this ribosomal RNA (425 nucleotides) under uncultured bacterium. Its description in RNAcentral is "partial 16S ribosomal RNA". It matches the Rfam family "Bacterial small subunit ribosomal RNA", at positions 354 to 796 of the family's 1533-position model. The record is from RNAcentral.
GUGGGGAAUCUUGCGCAAUGGGCGAAAGCCUGACGCAGCCAUGCCGCGUGAAUGAAGAAGGUCUUAGGAUUGUAAAAUUCUUUCACCGGGGACGAUAAUGACGGUACCCGGAGAAGAAGCUCCGGCUAACUUCGUGCCAGCAGCCGCGGUAAUACGAAGGGGGCUAGCGUUGCUCGGAAUUACUGGGCGUAAAGGGCGCGUAGGCGGACAGCUUAGUCAGAGGUGAAAGCCCAGGGCUCAACCUUGGAAUUGCCUUUGAUACUGGCUGUCUUGAGUUUGGGAGAGGUGAGUGGAACUCCGAGUGUAGAGGUGAAAUUCGUAGAUAUUCGGAAGAACACCAGUGGCGAAGGCGACUCACUGGCCCAAUACUGACGCUGAGGCGCGAAAGCGUGGGGAGCAAACAGGAUUAGAUACCCGUGUAGUCC